GAAGGAAGUGAAGACAUCUCUGGUGAGUAGGAAACUCCCACACUCAUGAGGAAUGAGUGAAUGCGCGUCUGGGUGACUGCGGCAGAACCAAACCUUGAGAAUACUAGUCACUAUCGAGUAGACUAAUUAGUCUAUAAAACUGAGAAAAGGGCAAGGUGUGUCCUGUACGUGAGCUCCGUGAAACGUGUGCAUGUGUAAAAGUGUGAGCGGAGGUUCGCUACCUCAUUUGAACAGGAAAUUGAGUGACAACUGUUUGAGGAUGCAGAGGUAAGAAUUCUCCGCCACAUGUGGUAGAAGCUUGAGAAUUACCUCAAACGGAACGUAAUUGUCACCCUGUUCAGUGGGAAGUCAGUAUAGUCACCCUAGGUGAACCACUGACUCCAACAGCGGAAAAACAAAUAGAAAAAUAGUUGAUAAAUAGCAAAAUAGUUGAAGCACAACAUCUGAAAAAAAUAAUAAUAAUGAUGUGUAAGGACUAGAAGUUUGUAGAAAGCAAAUGUCCUACAAAAACAAAACAUCUAAAUUUGUGGAUAACACAAUAUGACUUUGCUGGCCAGCUCAACAUACACACAAAAAAUAUAUAUAGUUAAGCUGCAGGAUAAAAUAAGAGAAACACACACGCACACACAAAAAAAAAAAAAAAAAAACAACAACAACAACAAAAAGCUGGACUCAAGAUGAUGUGAAAACAGCCAUAAAAGGUAUCACAUCUCAUAAAGUUGAUGUAACAUAAUUCGUCCAGGGAACGGAAGACUUGAGAAAAUCUUACCACUUAAAUGGUGUGGAAGUACAACAAAUUUGGAUGACAGCAAAGUACUUUCUCACAGCAGCAGGGAGUUCAAGGUUUAAUAUCGCGCACUCCUGCAAGAUUUAAAAAAAAAGAAGCAAUUUUUUCUGCCAUUGUAAGACCAAAAUAAAACAACAAUGAACCAUUUGAAGAAUAUAGAAUUGGAAUAAAUGCAUGUUUUAAAGCAAACAGUGGCAUUCCUGAAGAUCACACUCCAGGGAGUGUGUAUCAAGGGCAAUUAAAAAAAAUGCUCUUCAUGUGAAUUCAAAUAAUCCUAUAAACAAUGGAUUGAAAAACAUUGGGUUGACAAACCGACUGGCAGCCUGUAACAAUACGUUAACCAAGCACUACACGCAGAGUGCUACAAAGAAAAAGAAAAUUGACACCUUUCUGACAGAGAAAGGAGAAAUUCAUGGAGCUUUAUGCAAAAUAUUUAAUAAUUGUGGCCGCAGAUGAGGAAGAGAGCAGCCAUCUCCCCAUCAAAAAUGUCACAACUAAUGCUCCCAAAAUGCAACUUUUCAAUUUGUCCCAUACGUUUUUUUGGGAAGAGACGGCUUGCUGAAACUAGGACUGCGCUUAAUUCCCUCUCUGACAGGAAAAAUAGAAGUAAAAAGAAAAAAAAAGGAAUUACUGGGAGGACAGUUAAAUAUCUUACAAAAUGGGAAUCCAGCGCUCUAUUAUUACACCUUACAUAUUCCAAACAAACCUCCCACAAGAACAGGAGAUUUCUUGCUGCAAACAGCUCAAGACGUGAUUGAACAACCACAAAAUGACGUAGGAAGUGACUCAUUGCAUGUGACAAUUUAGUCACAUUGGUAAAUAAGAUAAACUUAUAACAGCUCACACCAGACAAAAUCAUGAUUAUCUGUACUCAGAUGGUACAUCAGUCGUGGUGACAGGAACAACACUGACUGACAAACUAAAUGCACUACACAAGGAAUGGACACCACCACACACGUCAUUACAACAGGAGUGGGAGAGUUUGGGACAAUUUGUUUUGGUAGUAUGAAAUGUUCCUGAUUGGACAGAAAAAGAACCAGAUUUGGAUUGGGACGACUGAACUGUACAGACAAUAUAUUAUUGGACAGUCUUAAACAAUCUGAGACCAGAUGCUGCUGUAUUCGCGGUGGUAUCACAAUCUACACAGACAAUACUGGAAAAGUAGAGCAAUAGCGACAACUCCAGGGAACACAGUGACACAUGCAGAGCUACUACAAAAUUUGCUCAUAGCAGUUCAGUUACCAAAAGAAUUAGCCAGACGUAAAUGUGCAGUACACACAUCAAAAACAGACAAAGAAUCAUGAGGAAAUGGAUUUAUAGAUAAAACAACAAAAGAAGCAGCAGCCAAAACCUUUAUGGGAUUAGAUGACCAUGAAACAAAUAAAGACAUACUUUGAGAUGAUGUGUUAAAAAAUGCAACAAAAAAGAUGACCAGAAGAACUAAAAAUCUGGAAGAAAUAGGGUACUACAUUACAAAAUGGGAAUUAUGUCAGCACAGAUAAAAAAAAAAAUAAUAAAUUCUACCAAAAACAUUUUUUAAGUGGGAGGCAAUCUUGAGCCAUGGGAAGUCUCAGGUCUCAACAGGGGGAAUGGUAGCCCUGGUACAAAGGCAUUACAUGAUCCAUGGAUUUAACUUGCAUGCAAAAAAAACUUUUUUUGUAGGGCUUGUUUGAUCUGUGUGCGACAUAAUCCACAAGGGAAUGUGCAUCCAAAACGUGGUCAGUUUCCUCAAGCUACACAUCCAUUCAUCCCGCCAUCCAUUUUCUUAGCUGCUUAUCCUCAUAAGGGUCGCGGGGAGGGCUGGAGCCUAUUCCAGCUGUCAAUGUGCAGGAGGCAAGGUACACCCUGACCUGGUUGCCAGUCAAUUGCAGGUCACAUGGAGACAAACAGUCGCACUCACAAUCACACGUGGGGGCAAUUUGGACACAAUGAUAGAUUUAGUCUAUUACAAGCACGUAAGUGUCUCAUUCCAUUCAAAACACUGUUUGGGACACCAUACAAAUUACCAACAUUUCCACACAAUGAGAGGUAGAUGAAUGAUGAAGGAAGAAAAAAAACACACACAAGUGGUUCCCUUUCUGGAGUUAUUAACAACCCCAAACAGCUUGAAAAUUGCAAAAAGGGGUACUUGAGUUCAUUUGUUGAUUGUAGGAAAGUUAUUGCCCAUUGUUAACACACAAAAAAAAAUAAUUUGUUUUUAUUGGCCACUUGUAAAAUAGCUGUUCUCAUUCCCACUGCCAAGGUCGCUGUAGCCCGGUUACACAUGGGAGUGAGACUGCUGUCAUAAUGGUGACUAAACAGAUCCAGAGAUAAUACCAAUGCUAUUAAUUGAUAACAAAUGCAAAAAAAAAAAAAUAAAAAUAAAAAAGUUGGGGGAUUCUGUGUAUCCAUUAACUUCUCUUGAAAAACAAAAAAACUGUUUUCUAAUGGCGUGUCACUAGGAAAUUUCACAUGCAUCAAUUUGAUAGGACUAGAAACAAAUUGGCAAUUUUAUCAGCAUUGAUGUGGAAAGCCAUUUUUGUGCCAAUGUCAUGGUGGUGCGGCAGUAACUGUCUUUUUUAUUUUUUUACACCGUAUGCCUUCCCUGAUGCAACCCUUCUGCAUUUAUUCGGAGAGAGAGCUGGAGCCAAUCCCAGCUAACUUCGGGCAGCAGCAGACUACACCCCGAACAGCCAGUCGCAGUGCAGAUGUCGACACCAUCACUGAGCGGGAAUCGAUCUCACCCUGCCUUCACUCGAAAUGUCCCUCUGAUGGAAACCCGAACUACAAUGUGGCCCUCUAGAGAAAUGAGUUCGACAUCCCUGCACUAGACCAUCAAAAAAAAAAAAAAAAAAAAAUGUAACAAGUUACUGUGCUUUAAUAACCUUGUUACUGCCAUUUGUUUAUUCAUCCUGUCUGUUUGUGAAUUAACAUCUACUGUACAUGCAGUUUUAUCCGAACACUGGCAUAGACUGAGCAAGAGCUGAAUGACAUGGAGAAAAUAGCAGAAAGAAACACGUGGAUACACCUUACACACUGUAAAAGGUCAUCUCAGCUGAGUCACCCAAGGGGAAAGGUGAGCAAAGACCAGCAUACGGUGGGUGCAGAUUUAUAGUAUCUGAAAAUACCUGAAGGCUGGUGAAGAUUUAAAAGACACUUGACUCAUUUAGGGGUGACUUGGUCGACAUGACUUCAAAAUGGCUAAAUAAUAUGAUGCAUGUUGGGCUGCAACAUUGACAGCCAUAAUGAUAUUUUUGUUCAUAUGCUACUUUUGGACACCUGUAAAGCUGACAAAAAUACAUAACAACAGAACCAAUAAUUAUACUCAGUCAACUAUGCCUACCACACAUAAGAUAAAGAGGCGUAACCUCAUUUCAAAUAACUUUGGUAAACAACUAUGCGGGAGGCAUGAGGCAUGAGAGGAGGACUCCAUGUGUGCCUCCCAGUGAAUCUGUUCAGCACUUUUUCAAUUCCUUGGCAGAGUCUAAUUGCUGGGGAUUCCAUCCUUGGGCUUAUGCUAAAUGAAAAACCCCACUUUAUUCUCACCAUUUGCCAAUUUAAUGCUACCUUAAACCCGAAUGCCAUACAAAAGAGUACGUCUACUACGGCGGGAGUAUUUUAACCGAAAAAGCCUGAGGAACAUUUUUUCAUUAUUAUGAUUAUCAUUUUUACAAAUAGGAAACAAAACUGGUUGUUAUUAAUGUAGAAUGCAGCUAACAAGGUAAACUAGAGUUACAUCACAUGCAUGGGCCCUGGGCCACUAAUGCGUGUAAUUCCAACAGAAAUGCCAACACGAUGUACCCAGGAGGUAAUGACUAAAACAACUCCUAACACCACUUGUCAGAAAUGGAAAAGUGUUUAUCUAACAACUAAGGCAGUAAAUGAUAAACUGAUAUUUUCUACUAAUGUUGCAUUGGUUAAUUUCUCCUGUGUUAGCUUUACAGGGACAGAUUUUAAGGUGGGAAGUCUCAACAAAACAUGGUGUCAUGAUAUCCAUCUGCAAACUGCCCCACUGCUCCCAUGCACCAAUUUGUUGUGGUGGUGUGUUGGUCAAAAGUUGUAUGACACACUGAUAAAUGCAACAGGAACGUGUACACUGGUAUCAAUGCUCUUAUCUGUGACUGUGUUUCCAUCCAAAGCAGAGGAUAUACAAUUGGCCGCAUGCAUCUUUGGACCUCCCCUUGGGUUCUCCCGAAGGCGAAGGUCCUCUUGGAAAGAUGGAGAUCUGACAUACAUUGAUGACAUUGUGAUCCAACCGUGCUAUUGAAAAAACAUUGAACAUCCCAGGUUGAGAGCUUGAAGACCAGUCUAUUGAUGGGCCUGUGUUGUCGUGGCCACGGUCUUUCCUGGAGGUCGACUCUGAAGCUGGGAUCCUCAGGAACCCAUGGGAAGGAAUGUAAUGAUUGACUUGAUGUUUGACCACGGCACUUGCUGUUUCAGAUCUGCAGGGAUAUGCCUCAGGCCAGCCAGAGAAGGCAUCCACUAUGACAAGCAGGGUAGCACUGACUGCCGGUGACAAAUUCCUUGUGUCCGCCUGCCCGUCUGCUCCACUGCAGUGAGCAUUGAAGAUCAUGGCUUAAUGAAGCCAACAGAACCACAUCACCUGCAAAAAGCAGAUAUCCGACGCUGAGGCCACCAAACCGGACACCCUCUACACCUGCGCCUAGAGAUUCUGUCCAUAAAAGUUAUGAACAAAAUCGGUGACAAAGGGCAGCCUUGGCAGAGUCCAAUUCUCACCAGAAACGAGACCGACUUAUUGCCAGCAAUGCGGACCAAACUCUGACACCGGUCAUACAGGAACCGAACAGCCAUAUCAGGGGGUUCGGUACCCCAUACAACCAAAGAACCCCACACAGGACUCCCCAAGAGACACAGUCGAAUGCCUUCUCCAAAUCCACAAAACACAUGUAGACUGGUUGGGCAAACUCCCAUUCACCCUCGAGGAGCCUGCCGAGGUUAUAGAGCUGGUCCACUGUUCCACAGCCAAGACGAAAACCACAUUGUUCCUCCUUAAUCUGAGAUUCGAAUUCCCAACGAACCAUCCUCUCCAGCACCCCUGAAUAGACCUGACCAGGGAGUCCUUGUGUGUUGUUACAUACUUGGCCAUUAAAGCUGAUUCUAAUUCUGAUUCUGCUUGUUAAUGAGCCUUUCUUAUUGAGACUUGGGAAAACUAUGAAAGGUCUGUGUCUUCCAGAAAUAUAGCAAUUCCAGAUUUGCGUUGGGCUAUCUUGGUGAUAUCAAUGUAACGGUCAAGGAACACGGGGAUUUACAGUGAAGAAAAUAAAUAUUUGAACACCCUGCUAUAUUG
Syngnathoides biaculeatus (alligator pipefish) is the source of this 6074-nucleotide long non-coding RNA. RefSeq lists it as uncharacterized. The transcript has 4 exons. The record is from RefSeq and is a predicted model, not a curated record. Lineage: Eukaryota; Metazoa; Chordata; Actinopteri; Syngnathiformes; Syngnathidae.